Molecule: ribosomal RNA, 440 nt
Filed under: uncultured bacterium
Lineage: Bacteria
Description: bacterial SSU rRNA
Rfam family: Bacterial small subunit ribosomal RNA
Source: RNAcentral
CCUACGGGAGGCUGCAGUGGGGAAUAUUGCACAAUGGGGGGAACCCUGAUGCAGCGACGCCGCGUGCGGGAUGACGGCCUUCGGGUUGUAAACCGCUUUCACCAGGGACGAACCUAGACGGUACCUGGGGAAGAAGCGCCGGCUAACUACGUGCCAGCAGCCGCGGUAAUACGUAGGGCGCAAGCGUUGUCCGGAAUUAUUGGGCGUAAAGAGCUCGUAGGCGGCUUGUCGCGUCGGGUGUGAAAGCCCACGGCUCAACCGUGGGUCUGCAUCCGAUACGGGCAGGCUAGAGGCAGGUAGGGGAGAACGGAAUUCCCGGUGUAGCGGUGAAAUGCGCAGAUAUCGGGAGGAACACCGGUGGCGAAGGCGGUUCUCUGGGCCUGUACUGACGCUGAGGAGCGAAAGCGUGGGGAGCGAACAGGAUUAGAUACCCUAGUAGU